CAGAGAAUAGUUUAUAAAAAUAUUAAUUUUGGAGAUUAAAGAUGAAUUAAUUUCUUCUCUGA
Molecule: transfer RNA, 62 nt
Filed under: Sepedophilus bipunctatus
Lineage: Eukaryota; Metazoa; Arthropoda; Insecta; Coleoptera; Staphylinidae
Description: tRNA-Pro
Source: RNAcentral